CGCCCACCGGGGUUCUUCCUCACAGCUUCUGGUUCCCGGCGCUUAGGCCGGCGCUAAUGGCGGCCGGUGUCGCGUUGCGCCCUUCUACCUAAGGCGUUUUCAGUGGACAGAGAUGGGAUGGAUACACACACAUUUGUUUGAAAUCACGCGUUUCUUCGCAACCUCCAAUUCCAGCCCAACCUUCUUUGCCCAAGUUGCUCUGUGGUCAGGCCACCUCACUGUUGGGAUCCCACGGCCUCUCCAAGGAAGGAUCCAAGAGGGACCCAGGAUCCACAUUUGAAAAUAUCGUUUGUACCCAGACUGGGACCAAUUCCACAGGAGGAGUCAUUCCACUCUCAGAGGUGUAAAACAUUGCCCAAAGGUAUUCUUCUGCAACACCAAAACAGUGCUUGGAGCCAAGCCUCAAGGCUGGCUCUUCAACAGUGCAACACCAUCACAUGCAUCGCAACAGCCUGGAGGGCUGACAACUGCUGGAUAAAAUUUUUAAACCCAGAGUCCUGAGCUACACUUUCCUUUCACUCCAGUUUGUUCUUCAUUUUUUUACUACAGUGGAACUAAGCUGUUUAUGAAUGGCCUCUUCUAUGAAUGAUUUCAUUGUUCUUUUUAUUCGAUUCCUCAGUCCGAUCAAGGCUAUAGAAAGAGGAUAGGGCCCAACUCUUGACAGAGAAGAGCUGGAAUGCUACCUUCUUAAUCCCAUGCUUGAGGGACACUCCAACAGGAUACCUUGGUGAGCUGAAAAUGUGUUUAUUCAGAGGGAACAAACAGAAAACAAAAAAUAAUAUGGCAGAUAAACUCUAGUAUAUUAUUAAAUGUAAAUGAUCUAAAUACUCCAGCUGAAACACAGAAGUUGGUGGAAUGGAUAAAAUGCAAAAAUGCAUGACCCAGCUAUAUACUGUCUACAAGGAAACCACUUCAAAUAUAACUAUAUACGUACAUUAAAAUUUAUUUCUUCCUGUUGAGAGAUGGCAAGCUCAGGCCUGAGAAACGUCAAGCAUACCAUGGAACAAUGUUUGAUUCCUGUGCUGGAGAAUCCAGUUGGGGACAGGGGUAUUGCUUUGGUGGUGGCUUCAAGAGAGUGUCCUGCAUUGAAAUCAGGCUGCAUUCCCUGUGUUCUGUCCCGUAGGACUGACUGCCUAGAACAAAAAGAGGCUGGAGGGGGACCCAGAGGCUGAGGGGCUGAGGAAGGAGGUGCACAGGACUCUUCAGAAGAGCACCACAUCCUCCUGGUCAAAAAAUGACAAGGACGGAGCCCAUUUACUUCUUCCCCAGACCCGACCCUGGCAGGGAGAGAAACUGGUGGCAGCAAUGAGGAAUGAAGUGAGCAAGGAUAAAGCAGAAAGGAAAACAUGUAAGUCCUCCUUCCCACUGUAGGGGGAAGAUAUACCCUGGUUCAGGUUCUGAGUUUUGAUUAUUAGAGGAGAUUGGACAUUCUGAUUUCUGCAUUGAGACCAUAUUAUAUUUGCCACUUAUAUUGACUGUAGUCAAAGCAAGCAUAAGACUAUCUAUUUUGUAAGCAUGAGCAGAGGUAUCAUGGGCCAAUUGGAAUUUUCAACUAGUGCAGGAAAAGAGAAACUCCACUUAAUAAAAAUGAUGACAUAUUUAUGGAUAUUGAUAAUACUAAAGAAUUAUGAUUAACUUUUAAAAGAGUGACAGUAGUACUGUAGUUAUGUUUUCAAACAGAGUUCUUAUUAUGUAGAGGUAGAUCCUGAAGUAUUUAUAGAUGAGAUGAGAUGAAGUCUGUAUUUGCUUCUGAAUAAAUGGGUGAGGGCAUAGAUGAACAAUUUUUGCCAUAACUUGAUGAUUGUUGAAGCUGGGUGAUGGGAACAUGGAGAUUAAUCAUACUAUUCUAUUUUUAUAUAUGUUGAAAAUUUCUGUUU
Long non-coding RNA from Lemur catta (Ring-tailed lemur), 1877 nucleotides. RefSeq lists it as uncharacterized. Lineage: Eukaryota; Metazoa; Chordata; Mammalia; Primates; Lemuridae. The transcript has 5 exons. The record is from RefSeq and is a predicted model, not a curated record.